This 446-nucleotide ribosomal RNA is filed under the name uncultured bacterium. RNAcentral's name for it is "partial 16S ribosomal RNA". It matches the Rfam family "Bacterial small subunit ribosomal RNA", at positions 338 to 795 of the family's 1533-position model. The record is from RNAcentral.
CCUACGGGAGGCAGCAGUCGAGAAUCAUGCACAAUGGGGGAAACCCUGAUGGGGCGACGCCGCGUGGGGGAAUGAAGGUCUUCGGAUUGUAAACCCCUGUCAUGUGGGAGCAAAUUAAAAAGAUAGUACCACAAGAGGAAGAGACGACUAACUCUGUGCCAGCAGCCGCGGUAAUCCAGAGGUCUCAAGCGUUGUUCGGAAUCACUGGGCGUAAAGCGUGCGUAGGCGGUUUCGUAAGUCGUGUGUGAAAGGCGCGGGCUCAACCCGCGGACGGCACAUGAUACUGCGAGACUAGAGUAAUGGAGGGGGAACCGGAAUGCUCGGUGUAGCAGUGAAAUGCGUAGAUAUCGAGAGGAACACUCGUGGCGAAGGCGGGUUCCUGGACAUUAACUGACGCUGAGGCACGAAGGCCAGGGGAGCGAAAGGGAUUAGAUACCCGUGUAGUC